This 253-nucleotide ribosomal RNA is filed under the name uncultured bacterium. RNAcentral describes it as "partial 16S ribosomal RNA". It matches the Rfam family "Bacterial small subunit ribosomal RNA", at positions 524 to 776 of the family's 1533-position model. The record is from RNAcentral.
UACGUAGGGUGCGAGCGUUGUCCGGAAUUAUUGGGCGUAAAGAGCUCGUAGGCGGUUUGUCACGUCUGCUGUGUAAUCCCGAGGCUCAACCUCGGGCCUGCAGUGGGUACGGGCAGACUGGAGUGCGGUAGGGGAGAAUGGAAUUCCUGGUGUAGCGGUGGAAUGCGCAGAUAUCAGGAGGAACACCGAUGGCGAAGGCAGUUCUCUGGGCCGUAACUGACGCUGAGGAGCGAAAGCGUGGGGAGCGAACAGG